Molecule: ribosomal RNA, 304 nt
Filed under: uncultured bacterium
Lineage: Bacteria
Description: partial 16S ribosomal RNA
Rfam family: Bacterial small subunit ribosomal RNA
Source: RNAcentral
CAGCAGCCGCCGCGGGAAUACGUAGGUGGCAAGCGUUGUCCGGAAUUAUUGGGCGUAAAGGGCUCGCAGGCGGUUUCUUAAGUCUGAUGUGAAAGCCCCCGGCUCAACCGGGGAGGGUCAUUGGAAACUGGGAAACUUGAGUGCAGAAGAGGAGAGUGGAAUUCCACGUGUAGCGGUGAAAUGCGUAGAGAUGUGGAGGAACACCAGUGGCGAAGGCGACUCUCUGGUCUGUAACUGACGCUGAGGAGCGAAAGCGUGGGGAGCGAACAGGAUUAGAUACCCGGGUAGUCCCUGUCUCUUAUAA